RNAcentral lists this ribosomal RNA (444 nucleotides) under uncultured soil bacterium. Its description in RNAcentral is "bacterial SSU rRNA". It matches the Rfam family "Bacterial small subunit ribosomal RNA", at positions 26 to 518 of the family's 1533-position model. The record is from RNAcentral.
AGAACGAACGCUGGCGGCAUGCCUAAUACAUGCAAGUCGAACGAACUCUUCGGAGUUAGUGGCGCACGGGUGCGUAACGCGUGGGAAUCUGCCCCUUGGUUCGGAAUAACAGUUGGAAACGACUGCUAAUACCGGAUGAUGACGAAAGUCCAAAGAUUUAUCGCCAAGGGAUGAGCCCGCGUAGGAUUAGCUAGUUGGUGAGGUAAAGGCUCACCAAGGCAACGAUCCUUAGCUGGUCUGAGAGGAUGAUCAGCCACACUGGGACUGAGACACGGCCCAGACUCCUACGGGAGGCAGCAGUAGGGAAUAUUGGACAAUGGGCGAAAGCCUGAUCCAGCAAUGCCGCGUGAGUGAUGAAGGCCUUAGGGUUGUAAAGCUCUUUACCCGAGAUGAUAAUGACAGUAUCGGAGAAUAAGCCCCGGCUAACUCCGUGCCAGCAGCCGC